Molecule: ribosomal RNA, 366 nt
Filed under: uncultured bacterium
Lineage: Bacteria
Description: bacterial SSU rRNA
Rfam family: Bacterial small subunit ribosomal RNA
Source: RNAcentral
GACGAACGCUGGCGGCGUGCCUAAUGCAUGCAAGUCGAACGCACUGCCUUCGGGCAGUGAGUGGCGCACGGCUGAGGAACACGUGGGAAUCUGCCCGACCGUGGGGGAUAACACGCCGAAAGGCGUGCUAAGCCCGCAUACGCUCGCAAGAGGAAAGCGGCAACGCGCGGUCGGAGGAGCCUGCGGCCCAUCAGGUAGUCGGCGGGGUAACGGCCCACCGAGCCGGUGACGGGUAGCUGGUCUGUGAGGACAGACAGCCAGACUGGGACUGAGACACGGCCCAGACUCCUACGGGAGGCAGCAGCAAGGAAUUUUCGGCAAUGGGCGCAAGCCUGACCGAGCAACGCCGCGUGGAGGACGACGGCC